GAAGGAAGCAAGGGCAUAUAGUGGAUGCCUUGGCACUAAGAGCCGAUGAAGGACG
This 55-nucleotide ribosomal RNA is filed under the name Candidatus Phytoplasma trifolii. RNAcentral's name for it is "partial 23S ribosomal RNA". The record is from RNAcentral. Lineage: Bacteria; Bacillati; Mycoplasmatota; Mollicutes; Acholeplasmatales; Acholeplasmataceae. RNAcentral also lists the same sequence under 1 other name.